Molecule: transfer RNA, 73 nt
Filed under: Ovis aries (sheep)
Lineage: Eukaryota; Metazoa; Chordata; Mammalia; Artiodactyla; Bovidae
Rfam family: tRNA
About the family: Transfer RNA (tRNA) molecules are approximately 80 nucleotides in length. Their secondary structure includes four short double-helical elements and three loops (D, anti-codon, and T loops).
Source: Rfam by way of RNAcentral
UCCCUGGCAGUCCAGUGGUGAGGACUCCAUGCUUUCACCACUGAGGGCCAGGGUUCAAUCCCUAGUUGGGGAA